UACGUAGGGUGCGAGCGUUAAUCGGAAUUACUGGGCGUAAAGCGUGCGCAGGCGGUUCGUUGUGUCGGUGGUGAAAGCCCCGGGCUCAACCUGGGAAUGGCCAUGGAAACUGGCGAACUGGAGUGUGGCAGAGGGGGGUGGAAUUCCGCGUGUAGCAGUGAAAUGCGUAGAGAUGCGGAGGAACACCGAUGGCGAAGGCAGCCCCCUGGGCUAGCACUGACGCUCAUGUACGAAAGCGUGGGGAGCAAACAGG
Molecule: ribosomal RNA, 253 nt
Filed under: uncultured bacterium
Lineage: Bacteria
Description: partial 16S ribosomal RNA
Rfam family: Bacterial small subunit ribosomal RNA
Source: RNAcentral